Molecule: ribosomal RNA, 1479 nt
Filed under: metagenome
Description: bacterial SSU rRNA
Rfam family: Bacterial small subunit ribosomal RNA
Source: RNAcentral
AGAGUUUGAUCCUGGCUCAGGAUGAACGCUAGCGGCAGGCCUAACACAUGCAAGUCGAACGGUAACAGGUUUUUCGGGAUGCUGACGAGUGGCGCACGGGUGCGUAACGCGUAUGCAAUCUACCUCUAACUGAAGAAUAGCCCAGGGAAACUUGGAUUAAUACUUCAUAAAAUCACAUUAUCUCAUGAUAAAAUGAUUAAAGCUUUGGCGGUUAGAGAUGAGCAUGCGUCCCAUUAGCUUGUUGGUGAGGUAACGGCUCACCAAGGCUACGAUGGGUAGGGGGUCUGAGAGGAUUAUCCCCCACACUGGUACUGAGACACGGACCAGACUCCUACGGGAGGCAGCAGUGAGGAAUAUUGGGCAAUGGACGAAAGUCUGACCCAGCCAUGCCGCGUGCAGGAUGACGGCCCUAUGGGUUGUAAACUGCUUUUAUGUAGGUAGAAACCCCUCUACGUGUAGAGGGCUGACGGUACUACUUGAAUAAGCAUCGGCUAACUCCGUGCCAGCAGCCGCGGUAAUACGGAGGAUGCAAGCGUUAUCCGGAUUCAUUGGGUUUAAAGGGUCCGUAGGCGGAUUUUUAAGUCAGGGGUGAAAGCCUACAGCCCAACUGUAGAAUUGCCUUUGAUACUGGAAGUCUUGAGUAUAAUUGAAGUGGGCGGAAUACGUCAUGUAGCGGUGAAAUGCAUAGAUAUGACGUAGAACACCGAUUGCGAAGGCAGCUCACUAAGUUAUAACUGACGCUGAGGGACGAAAGCGUGGGGAGCAAACAGGAUUAGAUACCCUGGUAGUCCACGCUGUAAACGAUGAUAACUCGCUGUUGGCGAUAUACAGUCAGCGGCUAAGCGAAAGCGUUAAGUUAUCCACCUGGGGAGUACGUUCGCAAGAAUGAAACUCAAAGGAAUUGACGGGGGCCCGCACAAGCGGUGGAGCAUGUGGUUUAAUUCGAUGAUACGCGAGGAACCUUACCAGGGCUUAAAUGUAGACUGACCUUUCUGGAAACAGAGAUUCUCUUCGGAGCAAUUUACAAGGUGCUGCAUGGUUGUCGUCAGCUCGUGCCGUGAGGUGUUAGGUUAAGUCCUGCAACGAGCGCAACCCCUAUCUUUAGUUGCCAGCGAGUAAUGUCGGGGACUCUAAAGAGACUGCCAGCGCAAGCUGUGAGGAAGGUGGGGAUGACGUCAAAUCAUCACGGCCCUUACGUCCUGGGCUACACACGUGCUACAAUGGUAGAGACAGAGGGCAGCCACCUGGUGACAGGGAGCGAAUCCUUAAACUCUAUCUCAGUUCGGAUCGAAGUCUGCAACUCGACUUCGUGAAGCUGGAAUCGCUAGUAAUCGCGCAUCAGCCAUGGCGCGGUGAAUACGUUCCCGGGCCCCUACACACCGCCCGUCAAGCCAUGGGAGUUGGGAGUGCCUGAAGUCGGUAACCGCAAGGAGCUGCCUAGGGUAAGACCAAUGACUGGGGCUAAGUCGGAACAAGGUA